UCCCUCUCUCUGAGCCAGGAGUUGCCUCCAGAUUCGUCUUCGUUAUAAACUCCUCAAUGGAAAGAACCAUGCAUUCCACAGUGACUGGCCCUUAAAUGGCAGCCAAUAGACAAUGAAAUUCAGCACAAAAAAGAACUACUCGGCAUGAAAAGACACGGAGAAAUCUUAAAUGCAUAUUACUAAGUGAAGGAAGCCAGUCUGGAAAGGCUACAUACUGUAUGAUUCCAACUAUAUGACAUUCUGGAAAAGGCACAACUAUGGAGACCGUAAAAAGAGUUUCUGAGGGUCAAGAAUCUGGGAGUAGCUAAGCUGGGUGGUUCUGGCUCAAGGUCUCUCAUGAGGGUGCAGUCAAGAUGUCCAUGGAACUGCAGUCAUCUGAAGGCUUGACUGGGCCA
Molecule: long non-coding RNA, 395 nt
Filed under: Equus asinus (donkey)
Lineage: Eukaryota; Metazoa; Chordata; Mammalia; Perissodactyla; Equidae
Description: lncRNA (ENSEASG00005031356.1)
Source: RNAcentral